This 253-nucleotide ribosomal RNA is filed under the name uncultured bacterium. Its description in RNAcentral is "partial 16S ribosomal RNA". It matches the Rfam family "Bacterial small subunit ribosomal RNA", at positions 524 to 776 of the family's 1533-position model. The record is from RNAcentral.
UACGGAGGGGGCUAGCGUUGUUCGGAAUUACUGGGCGUAAAGCGCACGUAGGCGGCUCCUCAAGUCAGAGGUGAAAGCCCAGGGCUCAACCCUGGAACUGCCUUUGAAACUAGGUAGCUAGAAUCUUGGAGAGGUCAGUGGAAUUCCGAGUGUAGAGGUGAAAUUCGUAGAUAUUCGGAAGAACACCAGUGGCGAAGGCGACUGACUGGACAAGUAUUGACGCUGAGGUGCGAAAGCGUGGGGAGCAAACAGG